Medicago truncatula (barrel medic) is the source of this 170-nucleotide non-coding RNA. The record is from Rfam. Lineage: Eukaryota; Viridiplantae; Streptophyta; Magnoliopsida; Fabales; Fabaceae.
UUGAGCCGUAUGAGUCAGGAAACUCUCAAGUACGGUUCUAAGGGAAGGAAUUUACUCACAUAUUCCGACCGCGGAGAACAGGCCAUUCGACAGGGAGAUUCUGAAAUUGCGGAAUCUUGGUUUGAUCAAGCCGCUGAAUAUUGGAAACAAGCUAUAGCCCUUACCCCUGG